CGGUGAGUGAAGAAGGCCUUCGGGUUGUAAAGCUCUUUCAGUUGAAAAGAAAAAGUUAGUGACUAAUAAUCAUAACUCAUGACGGUAUCAACAGAAGAAGCACCGGCUAACUACGUGCCAGCAGCCGCGGUAAUACGUAGGGUAGCAAGCGUUAAUCGGAAUUACUGGGCGUAAAGGGUGCGCAGGCGGUUCUGUAAGUCAGAUGUGAAAUCCCCGGGCUCAACCUGGGAACUGCGUUUGAAAACUGCAGAGCUAGAGUGCAGCAGAGGGAGGUGGAAUUCCAUGUGUAGCAGUGAAAAUGCGUAGAGAUAUGGAAGAACAUCGAUGGCGAAGGCAACCUCCUGGGCUAGCACUGACGCUCAUGCACGAAAGCGUGGGGAGCAAACAGGAUUAGAUACCCUGGUAGUCCACGCCCUAAACUAUGUCAACUAGUUGUCGGGUCUUAUUAGACUUGGUAACGUAGCUAACGCGUGAAGUUGACCGCCUGGGGAGUACGGUCGCAAGAUUAAAACUCAAAGGAAUUGACGGGGAC
RNAcentral lists this ribosomal RNA (532 nucleotides) under uncultured bacterium. Its description in RNAcentral is "bacterial SSU rRNA". It matches the Rfam family "Bacterial small subunit ribosomal RNA", at positions 399 to 920 of the family's 1533-position model. The record is from RNAcentral.